GCUUCCAUUAAUUUAUUAGAAUAAUAUUAAUAACACACAAAAAGAAGGCCAGGCCAAAGAAGAAGCCCGCAUCAGUUCUUAUUUUAGUGGAGAUAUUUUACACACAUAUGAUUAUGGCCUUCUUCAAUUGCAUGGAUGCAUGCGAGACGAGAGAUUGCCAUUACUUCCCUGGCGUAAAUUCUUUAAUUUAGCAGCCUUCUUCUUCUUCUUCUCCCCGGAUGUCGUGAGUACUUGCCUACCCGUUUUGCCCACAUCACCGGUGUUGGCGAAGUCAGUAAAUCCUUUCAGGUUGCCUUUGUUUCCCUUCAUGUUAAUAUUCUCAGCUUCAAUUUCACAGCUGCCCGAGUCGGCCCCAUUAAGAGUGUUGAAGAAGUUGCUAAAUCCCGUCGUGUCGCCGCUGUUGUCGCUGAUAUCAACCCGUUUAAUUUUAAUAAUUUUGGCGCUUGAGUUGGCAUUUCCAGCAUACCCUUGCCUUGAGUUGGUUUCAUCGUGACUCGUCAUUGUCUCACUGACUAGUUUUUAGGUUUGAUCUGCGUUUGCUUUGAUGAUCAACUAAUUGUAUCAUGC
This 567-nucleotide long non-coding RNA is filed under the name Prunus dulcis (almond). Its description in RNAcentral is "sRNA ncRNA". The record is from RNAcentral. Lineage: Eukaryota; Viridiplantae; Streptophyta; Magnoliopsida; Rosales; Rosaceae.